Molecule: ribosomal RNA, 253 nt
Filed under: uncultured bacterium
Lineage: Bacteria
Description: partial 16S ribosomal RNA
Rfam family: Bacterial small subunit ribosomal RNA
Source: RNAcentral
UACGUAAGUGGCGAGCGUUAUCCGGAAUUACUGGGCGUAAAGCGUGCGUAGGCGGUUUAGUGUGUGGGAAUUGAAAGCCCGGGGCUCAACUCCGGAUCCGGUUCCCAAACUGCUAGACUCGAGCGUAUCAGAGGAGAGCGGAAUUCCCGGUGUAGCGGUAAUAUGCGUAGAUAUCGGGAGGAACACCAGUGGCGAAGGCGGCUCUCUGGGGUAUUGCUGACGCUGAGGCACGAAGGCCAGGGGAGCAAACGGG